UUCUAUUCAAAGUCAUCCCUCUGCUCACUAAGAUAGAUGCAUAUCUGAUUGCUUCCUUUGGAAAGCCUAAUCAGAUACUUAAAAGAAUGAAGCUAUUUUUCUCUCACCUACCUGUGACCUGGAAGCUGCCUCCCUGCUUUGAGUUGUCCCACCUUUCUGGACAGAACCAAUGUACAUCUUACAUAUAUUGAUUGAUGUCUCAUGUCUCCUUAAAGUGUAUAAAACCAAGCUGUGCCCCAACCACCUUGGACACAUGUCAUUAGGACCUCCUGAGGCUGUGUCAUGGGUGCACAUCCUCAACGUUGGCAAAAUAAACUUUCUAAAUUAACUGAGACCUGUCUCAGAUAUUCAGGGUUCACAAAGGAAAGCCAUUUUUGGGGUGAGUUCUGGCAAAACAGCCAAGAGAUAUUACACACUACUUCUGUCCAUGAGUUAGCCUGUGUCUCAAUUGCAUGUUUUGCAUGAUCUUUUUAAGUAAGGAGUCAAAUAAUUUUCUAAGUUUAUUUUCUUCAUGUCAAUAUUAUAUAAAAAAGAAGGUACACAUAUAUUUAAGAUAAGAUGGAGGGGUUUUCUUUUUCUUAAAUAUUUAUUCAGCAUUGGAAAAGAUACAUCUCAUUUAUUGUUGCUAAAAGAUGAUUGGAUACUAUAAAAUCAUACUUGUUUAUUUUACUAGGUGAAAUUUUCCUGUUUGUCAUUCAGUCACUUACCUACUCUUUUAUUUAUUCCCAUGAUUCAUUUAUUAGAUUUCAAUUAACAGAUUUAAAUGUAAUAAUCUAUAGAUGAAAAGAGUCAAGCUCUGUGAUAUGGUUUGGCUGUGUCCCCACCCAAAUCUCAUCUUCAGUUGUAGUUCCCAUAAUCCCUACAUGUGGUGAAAGGAACCCAGUGGGAGAUCAUUGUAUCAUGGGGGCAGUUCCCCCAUGCUAUUCUCAUGAUAGUAAGUUCUCACGAGAUCUGAUGGUUUUAUAAGGGCCUUCCUCCUUCAGUUGGGACUCAUUCUCUUCCCUGCUGUCCUGUGAAGAGAUGCUUUCCACCAAGAUUGUAAGUUUGCUGAGGCUAACCAAGACAUGUGGAAUGGACUAAGAGAAACCACCUAUGGAAUGACAAUAAAUAAACAGACAACUCUUGACUCCGCCCAGAAGCAAUCCAUCAUUUUGAGGUCAAGUAGAAAAGGUGGAACCUGAAAGGAAACGGAGAAGUGGUGGUGAGGGAAGUAGGAGAAAAACCAGGAGAGUAUAGCGUCACAAGAAGCAAGAGAUGAAAGCUUUUCCAGACACAUUCAUUAAAGAAAAAGAAAGAAAGACAGGAAGAAAGACAAGCAAGCAAGCAAGCAAGCAAGCAAGAAAACUGAGCCAUCCACCACUCUCUCUGCCAACAAGAAUUCUCAGAUGGGCCAGGCACAGUGGCUCAUGCCUGUAAUUCCAGCACUUUGGGAGGCUGAGGCAGGACGAUCACUCAAGACCAGGAGCUCAAGACCAGCCUGGGCAACAUAGUGAAACCCUAUCUCCACCAAAAAUAAAAUUAGCCCAGGAAUGAUGUCACUUUACUGUAGUCCCAUCUAUUUGGGAGGCUGAGGGAAGAGGAUACUUGAGCCCAGGAGUUCAAGACUGCAGGGAGCUAUGAUUGCACCACUGCACUCCAGCCUGGGUGACAGAGCAAGACCCCGUCUCAAAGAAAACAAAAAAGAAUUCUCAGACAGGCUGGGUACAGUGGCUCACGCCUGUAAUCCUAGCACUCUGGGAUGCCGAGGAGGGUGGAUCACUUGAUCCCAGGAAUUCGAGACCAGCCUGGCCAUCGUAGUGAAACCCUAUCUCUAUUAAAAUACAAAAAUUAGCCAGGGCAUGGUGGCACACACCUGUACUCCCAGCUACUUCCAAGGCUGAGGCGGGAGAAUCACUUGAACCUGGGAGGUGGAGGUUGGAAUGAGCUGAGAUUGUGCCACUGCACUCCAGCCUGGGCGAAAGAUCAAAGCUCUGUCUUAAAAAAAAAGAAAGAAAAAAAGAAAAAGAAUUCUCAGGCAGAUGUUUUCUCACUCUGCAUGGGAUGGGAUUUUCUUUUUUUCUUUUUUCUUUUAUAGAGACAAAGUCUCACUAUGUUGUCCAGGCUGGUCUUGAACCCCUGAGUUCAAGCAAUCCUCCUGCCUUGACCUCCCAAAGUGUUGGGAUUACAAGGCGUGAGCCAUGGCACCCAACCAGGUUGGGAUUUUCUAUCAAUCAGGGGCAAAUCUCUCAGAAAACAAAGAAGACUUUAACUCAUAUUUGGAUCAUAUAUAUAAAGUGCCUGACAUACGGUAGAUGCUACAUAAGUUUUGGUUCUUUAUCCACACUUAAUUAUUUUGAAACAGGGUCUCUGUUUUACAGGCUGGAGUGCAGUGGUACUCUGUUGCCCAGGCUGGAGUGCCAGUGGUACAAUCUCUGCUCACUGUAGUCUCCACCUCCUGGGCUCAGGUAAUUCUUCCACCUCAGCCUUCCGAGUAGCUGGGAUUACAGGCGCGCGCCACUGUGCCCGGCUGUAAACAAUUAAAAUAUCAAAGUACACGGUUUGGAAGAUAGUAGAAAAUCUCUGAUGAGAAAGGGCAGUUCUGGUUUGUUAUUAUAGAGUGUAUGAGCACUCACACACGCCCAUACACCAAUUAAAGCUCACAAUAGAUGAAUCCUUAAAAGAAGGGGAAAUUAGAGCAGAAUAAAAGGAUGCUAAUUGUUGACAGUGAAAAAUGUUAUUUGUAAUAAUAGAGACUAGUAAAAGCAAAACACAUGUUGCUUGUUUGUGAGACCACCCAGCAGUCUGACUUGAUUGGAAGUUGUGUCAAUGGUCCUCCAUCAAAGACUAUCACCGUGAAUGAUGUCUAAAUAGAUGUUUCACUGAAAUUAAGAGAAGCCUUAUGUGAUCUGCAGAAUGGCCAUGUACUUUAGGUUAUUUGCAAAAGUUUUGUAAAUUGAAUUGUGAAUUUAACUGAGAGUACUUUUAAAACUAUAACUAAGCAGUGAAAGGAAAGUUGAAUUGACAGUGUUAUCUAGAAAGGUGCUGCCUCUCUCAGGUAAGCAGGGAUUUGGAGAAACAUAAAGACUUGGGUUUUAUUGAGGACACAUGGACAUAAACAUGGGAACAAUAGACACCAUGGAAUACUACAGGGUGGAGGGGUGGGUUAGAAAUCUACCUGUCAGGUACUAUGCUCACUAUCUCGGUAAUUUUUGAGAUUCCUACUCCAUACCUCAGCACCAAGCAAUAUUCCCAUGCAACAAAUCUGCACAUGCACCCACUGCAUCUAAAAUAAAAGUUGAAUUAAUAAAAUCAAAAAAAUAAAGGCCGGGUGUGGUAGCUCACGCCUGUAAUCCCAGCACUUUAGGAGGCCGAGGUGGCUGUAUCACCUGAGGGCAGGACUUCGAGACCAGCCUGGCCAACAUGGUGAAACUGUGUCUCUACUAAAAACACAAAAAAUCAGCCGGGCAUGGUGGCACUCACCUGUAAUCCCAGCUACUCCAGAGGCUGAGGCAGAAGAAUCGCUUGAACCCAGGAGGCAGAGGUUGCAGUGAGCCGAGAUCAUUGCACUCCAGCCUGGGCAACAAAAGAGAAACUCCGUCUCACAUAUAUAAGGAAAUAAACCUUGGUUUUUUUUUUUCCAAUCCCACCUGUCCCGGCCCCUAUUUAAGACUUAAUCUAUCAUCAGUUUAUAUAUGCACUGUCAAAAAUAACAAACAAGGAAGUCUAGCUCUUUUGUUUUCUAUGGCUCUUAAGAAGUCAGGGUGACAUCUGGUGGACAGACAGUCUUAAGGUAUCUAUCAAGACAGUAUAAAUUUCUUUCUGAUUCCCACUUUAAAAGUUCUCAAAGAGUCAAAAAUUUAAAAAGGAAGUUGUGCCUCAAGUGGACAGAAAACAUGACUCUUAACCCCAAACA
RNAcentral lists this long non-coding RNA (3892 nucleotides) under Homo sapiens (human). RNAcentral describes it as "HSALNT0220483". The record is from RNAcentral. Lineage: Eukaryota; Metazoa; Chordata; Mammalia; Primates; Hominidae.